RNAcentral lists this transfer RNA (59 nucleotides) under Camelus bactrianus (Bactrian camel). It matches the Rfam family "tRNA", at positions 7 to 64 of the family's 71-position model. Rfam says of the family: Transfer RNA (tRNA) molecules are approximately 80 nucleotides in length. Their secondary structure includes four short double-helical elements and three loops (D, anti-codon, and T loops). Lineage: Eukaryota; Metazoa; Chordata; Mammalia; Artiodactyla; Camelidae. The record is from Rfam by way of RNAcentral. RNAcentral also lists the same sequence under 2 other names.
AUAGCUCAGUGGUAGAGCGCAUGCUUAACAUGCACGAGGUCCUGGGUUCAAUCCCCAGU